UAAUGAAAUUGUUUUUGUUUGCUAUUUAGAUUCAAUUACAACAAUUAGAACUAACAAUCAAAUGUUUAAUUGUGCUUUUAUGUGUGUGACUGUGUGUAAAUACUGGUCACAAUUAUGAUAAUAAUGAUAUUUCUUUGUUGAAAUCUUUUUUUCUCUUGUGUCUAUACUUUCUUCGUGCCAUCUUUUGAUUAAUGAAUGUCACCAAGUAAUGAAGAUAAAUGUUUUUAUUGAAAUUAUUUAAUCAUUUCAUUUUCUAAUUGUCAGUUAAUUUAUUUCACUUUUCAAACUGCGAAUAAAUUAUCUCUUCAAAAAUUAAAUUACAUGUCUAGUUUACCUGUGAUUUUGGUGAAUAUUUUGUCUGUCAACUUAAAGGUUGAUCUCUCAUUUUUGUGUCUCUUUCCACAUCAACUUUCUUAAUAAGCAAACGUCAUUAAUUUCAUACCUUAAGUCAAUGUUGAUAAAUAAUUUUCGAUCAAUCAACCAAGUAACUCAAUUGGAACAUCUAAUAGUCAAGUUAAACAUGUCGUGUCAACAGAUUUCAUGGUUAUCUGAACAUGAAAUGCUCAAAUUGUCUGUCAAACAGUUUAAUGAAAGCAGCAAAAGUGAAAGGUUAAACUUGUCCGCUUGGCUGUGGCUGCCUUAAGUCGUUGUUUAUGAUAAUACCAAUCCGUUUUUUUAAAAAAAGGAAAGCUUGUUGGCCUCUAUCAUGUCAGGCCCAACAACAUGGCAACAUCUUCAAAAUGGUAACCAUCAUUGGACAAGGAUGAAAGAAGCAAGCCUUUAAAGUUUAUCAACAUUUUCGCAACAAUUAUCAUCAUUAUAUUCAACUCUAGUAGUUAAUUAACCAUUCCCACUACCUCCUAUUCCUCCACCCUCGCCUCCUCAUUUAAGUCUACAAUUUAGUCUCAAUCUCUACCAUAUCUUUGAGCACAAAUUAGCAUAGGUACAACGACUUACCUUCAGUACCAACAUCAUCGACUUGAUUGACUAAAUUUCCUUAACUAUCCAUCCUAUCUGUCUUAACAUCUUCAUCAAACGACCAGUUUGUGAAGUAACUAACUAAUCUUUACAUAUAAUAACAGUAAUCUAAUAAUGAUUGGAGCAAAGUUUACUCUCUAACCACAAUUAUCAUUUAAUAUGUUUUUCCCUUUUCUGUCUAACAAUCCAUCGUCCUUUCUUUUCUCUCUCUUUAAUCGGUUAUUAAUUUUCAUACAUCAAUUUACCUUAAGGCUAACAACCUGGAAGCCUUAAAUUAUUGAACAACAGUUGUCCAUGUUGAUUAUCAUAUAUGCAUUGUACAAGCAUUGUUGGACAGAUUAGUCGGAUAAGUUGGAAUCAAGCUUGAUUUGCUUCUCAUUUAAAUAGACUGAUAAUUAUCUUUUUAAUUUCACAAGUUUUACACAUUUUAUAGCAUAGUAUUUGACUAUUAUUAGUUAAUGAUAAAUUAUAAUGCUUGUCGAUUGCUAUUAUUACUAUUGGUAAAUUGAUGAAUGUUGAUAAAUUGAUGUAAUUAUCAAUACAACAAUAUUAUUGAUAUUACCAGAUAAAAAAAAACCUUUGCCCAACCUUAACUUCAAUGAGGUCCAAAAGCUGAAAUUAAAUUUGACGAUCAUUUUUAUUUAUUACAAUUAUCUUGCUCGCAAAACAACCCAAUUGACAAUUAUAACCAAUUACUAACUUUUAAUUCAUAUCAACACUCAAAAUUAUACAAAGAUGAAGCUCACAAAGUAAAUUCAAAAAGAUGGAAAGAUGAAGUAAUUGAAUGGAGAUUGAUGAGGAGAUGAAAUGCUAUUAAAUUAACAUGAUAAUCAUGAUAAUUGUUAGAUUGAUAGUAUUAACGAAUAAAUAAAUUACAAGAUUUAACCAAAAUUUUCAAACCUGUAAUCAUAUUCUGGUCAUGUUUGCUGGUCAACUCUGAAUGGUGUUAAAAACAUUGAAUGGUCCAAACGCGUGAAGAACCAUUAUCAAUUCAUUACAAUGUUAAUCAAGUUGUUCACCUUUUCUGCAUCCAUCCCAUAAGAGAGAGAGAGAGAGAGACCAGUUAACAAAUUAAUACCAGGACACAAUUAAAUCAACUUAAAUUAUGUGACAAUUGAAUGGACAACAAAGCAGCAAGAAAACCCAAAGCAAAGAAACUCUGGAAACCUUGAAAAUUGCUGCAAAUUCAACAACAAAAUAACCAUUUAUGCAAAUUAUCAGCUUCAUUUUGUUGUUGUUUCUGAUAUGUAAAUUGAUAACUCGACUACCCGAUGAAAAAAAACAGCAACAUCUAAAACGAUUAACUUAACCUUUUUUGUUUCUACCUGUUCUCACGUUGAUUUUCAACGUUGAUUUAUUUAAUAGUUUGCUGUUAAAAAAUAAGAUUAUGAUGAUGAUGUUGCUGAUGAUGGUAAUGAUGAUGAUGAUGACAAUGAUGAUGAUUAUUGUGAAUCGCUAAGUAAAAUUAUUCUCACGCUGAGCUUUUUUUUCCUUAUUGUGGAUUCCUCAGUUGAAUAAUCCAUGUUGAUAGUUAAUUUGAUUAACUACAGCUUUUACAAUUUUAUAAGGCAACAGGAGAAGCAACAAAAAAUGGUUAAACAUAAUCAGUAACAUCAUCAAGCUUGUUAUAUUUACCUUGAACCAAGAGUUUGAAAUCUUGGCAAAGAGUGAAAAAAGUAAAUUGUAAUUGUAAUAUUAAUUGUUAUCAUUUAGAUGUAUAUUAACAUGUAUGUAAACAUAUUUGGCAACCUACGGUCAAUGAUCAGGUUAACUAUUGUUCACUAUGAUUGUUAUCAUGAAAUUGUUAAUUAGCUAACUUGUUGUCGACUGUAGACAACCUUUGAAAUAAUAUAUCCACAAUUGAGUUCAUUUCCUUUCA
Tetranychus urticae (two-spotted spider mite) is the source of this 2857-nucleotide long non-coding RNA. RefSeq lists it as uncharacterized. The record is from RefSeq and is a predicted model, not a curated record. Lineage: Eukaryota; Metazoa; Arthropoda; Arachnida; Trombidiformes; Tetranychidae.